ACCAGUGUCUGCUGGGCACUCUUACCGUAGCAGUGAGGGGAGUUGUUCUCAGGAAGCCAUCAGCUACAGUGUUCGUAGCCUUGUUGAAAAGUGAUAGACCCUCGCAGCUACACAGGGAUGCUAGUUGCUGUUCUCUUUUAAUGUGUGUUUGAUGCAUUGGUGCCGCUUAUAGUUUGUUUACUUUUCUUUUUGUUCCUCUAGCCUAUCGGCCUAAGUAGCUUGUGUAGGUACCACCUAUUUAAUGUGAGCCGCAGGCUAGAGUGGAUUUAUUUUUUUUUAAUUUUUUUUUUCUGUACUUCCAGUUUGUGUGUCUCCCUCCCCCCUCCACAGCUAAUAGCCUCGGUGCUUAUAAGGCCCAUUAGUACCUGACCUUGGAUAGCCGGUCUCUGUAGUUUUUCUCACUCUAGUAGCCUACAGAGAUUGCAGUGUGCAUGUAGUUUGAACUCUUAAUUGCCGUGUCACAUAUCACAGAGUGUCUUGGAUAUUGUAGUGCAUUUUCCCUGAAUCUAAACACGUGUUAUUUAGUGUGCACAAGACCACGUGUGUUAGAGACCUGGCCUGACAUCAGUUCUCCUAGUGGCCCAUUACAGAGGUUCCCCAGUCCCCCUAUUGUGUCUAUGUAUUUUUUUUUUGUAUUAUAUCUGGUGACCAACCAACGCUACUCGUGUCUACUAUUUAUUAAUAAAGACUAUUUUUAUACUUUCACCAAAAACUGGCAAUAGUGUUAUUGAGUUCCCCUUGCUCUGACAUAAUUUAGCCCACUUCAAGGGGUGGCGUAGUCGACUGUACCCGAGAGGGCGCUACACAUGUUUACACACACUUAUGUUAUUUCUAUUCAGUAUGUAACUCCGACUGACAUAAUGACUGACUCAGUCACACUGACACAGCAAUCAAGGUUGCACAAUCACAGAAUCUCUUGUCGGAUGCCAAGACUUCCACAGGGCAUGGCUCGGCGGAGAACCAUCUGGUGCCCUUCAGUACUGGGCACCAAAGUACAGACCUCCCCACCCACCCAUAUUACCUUAUUAUUGUCCACACCAUCAUAGGCUGUACCAGUGUGUUUCACUGAAAGUGGGGAACUCUCCACAGAACAGCCAUAUAUUUUUUAUAUAUAUAUAUAUAUUAUUAUGUUAUAUGUAUUAUGUCAUUAUAAUCUGUUGUAAUUCAUUAAUAACAAUUUGAUGACACUGACAUGGCAUCAUGGGAUGUACCAGUCUGUAGCACGGACAGUCCUAAAGCUGUCAUAAAACAG
Long non-coding RNA from Clupea harengus (Atlantic herring), 1252 nucleotides. Lineage: Eukaryota; Metazoa; Chordata; Actinopteri; Clupeiformes; Clupeidae. The record is from Ensembl.